Molecule: long non-coding RNA, 232 nt
Filed under: Nicotiana benthamiana
Lineage: Eukaryota; Viridiplantae; Streptophyta; Magnoliopsida; Solanales; Solanaceae
Description: long non-coding RNA (NBEN_LNC022149)
Source: RNAcentral
UUGGCAUCAAGCAAUUAAGCAAAGUUUUAAGCAUUCAAAGAAUUGUAAAGCUCUCGAAGUUCUCUUAAUAAAAGAGUUCUUUCUUCCAACUACUAGUUUCCUUCGCCAAGUUUCUACAAGCUUAGUCUUUCUUAAGUUCUACUAAGCUUCCAGGUAGGCUGACUAGCUAACUUUGGCAUUGAAAAUUCGCUAGGCCGGACAGAUCGUCGUGUUUGAGUUACUGUCUUGUCAC